Molecule: ribosomal RNA, 464 nt
Filed under: uncultured bacterium
Lineage: Bacteria
Description: bacterial SSU rRNA
Rfam family: Bacterial small subunit ribosomal RNA
Source: RNAcentral
UCCUACGGGCGGCUGCAGUCGAGAAUCUUCGGCAAUGGGCGAAAGCCUGACCGAGCGACGCCGCGUGUGGGAUGAAGGCCCUUGGGUUGUAAACCACUGUCAGAGGGGAUGAAAUGCGGAAGGGUUCUCCCUUUCGUUUGACAUAGCCUCAGAGGAAGCACGGGCUAAGUUCGUGCCAGCAGCCGCGGUAAUACGAACUGUGCAAACGUUAUUCGGAAUCACUGGGCUUAAAGGGUGCGUAGGCGGCGUGUUAAGUAGGGUGUGAAAUCCCUCGGCUCAACCGAGGAACUGUGCCCUAAACUGGCAUGCUUGAGUGAGAUAGGGGUGUGUGGAACUUCCAGUGGAGCGGUGAAAUGUGUUGAUAUUGGAAGGAACGCCGGUGGCGAAAGCGACACACUGGGUCUCAACUGACGCUGAGGCACGAAAGCCAGGGGAGCAAACGGGAUUAGAUACCCUAGUAGUCC